GCCCGGGUAGCUCAGCCUGGUUAGAGCGCCGGGCUGUGGAAACCCGGAGGUCCCGGGUUCAAAUCCCGGCCCGGGCC
Molecule: transfer RNA, 77 nt
Filed under: Desulfurococcus mucosus DSM 2162
Lineage: Archaea; Thermoproteati; Thermoproteota; Thermoprotei; Desulfurococcales; Desulfurococcaceae
Description: tRNA-His
Rfam family: tRNA
About the family: Transfer RNA (tRNA) molecules are approximately 80 nucleotides in length. Their secondary structure includes four short double-helical elements and three loops (D, anti-codon, and T loops). Further hydrogen bonds mediate the characteristic L-shaped molecular structure. tRNAs have two regions of fundamental functional importance: the anti-codon, which is responsible for specific mRNA codon recognition, and the 3' end, to which the tRNAs corresponding amino acid is attached (by aminoacyl-tRNA synthetases). tRNAs cope with the degeneracy of the genetic code in two manners: having more than one tRNA (with a specific anti-codon) for a particular amino acid; and 'wobble' base-pairing, i.e. permitting non-standard base-pairing at the 3rd anti-codon position.
Source: RNAcentral